UAGCUGUCUCAUAUUCUUAGUGUAUGUUAGUCUCCUUUUGGGUUCCAGGAAUCUGCUGUUGCACCAUUUGUUAUCCCACUUAUCCUUCUGUUCGUCGUUUGUCAUUCAGAUGCUUUCAUCCAAAGCAAAUAUCAUUUAUUGAAUAGCAGAAAAUAUAUGUUCAGUGGCAAAAAUAUUCCUCUUCUCUAUGCUGCUCAAAUAAAUUUCUUUUAAUGCUCAGUAGUGCCAUCUCUUAAAAAUU
Molecule: long non-coding RNA, 241 nt
Filed under: Phoenix dactylifera (date palm)
Lineage: Eukaryota; Viridiplantae; Streptophyta; Magnoliopsida; Arecales; Arecaceae
Description: long non-coding RNA (PDAC_LNC021971)
Source: RNAcentral